Molecule: long non-coding RNA, 107 nt
Organism: Sinocyclocheilus anshuiensis
Lineage: Eukaryota; Metazoa; Chordata; Actinopteri; Cypriniformes; Cyprinidae
Exons: 3
Source: RefSeq, a predicted model, not a curated record
GGGGAUAAAACUGUAACACCGUGUGUCCCAAUCAGACACAACGCGAUAAAAAGUAUCUUUUCCAUGUAGUUUUUGUCCUAACCACCCGCGACAGUGACACGUGACAA